This is a long non-coding RNA of Vigna angularis (adzuki bean), 2301 nucleotides long. RefSeq lists it as uncharacterized. The record is from RefSeq and is a predicted model, not a curated record. The transcript is spliced from 3 exons. NCBI's taxonomy places the organism in Eukaryota, Viridiplantae, Streptophyta, Magnoliopsida, Fabales, Fabaceae.
UCCCGUGCCGCGUCUUUGUUUUCUUUUUUUCCGUCUCAUGGUUUUAAUCCUUCUUCUCCACCACUUCACAUCCACUUUUCCUUCUUCCCUUCUUAUUCAAACUUCUCACCACUUUGUUAGAUUCUUCUGACUCUUCUCCAUUAUCACUGGCUACCACUCACUAUCAUCUUCCUCCACCACUUAUUUAGGUCAGGAAUCGCUUCGAUGUUUUGUCGCAUACGAGAAUCAGAUCUGAAUGAACCCAAUCGAUGGGGCACAAAAAGCAAAACCCUGCUUCGACACGAAACAACCCGCGGCGGUGCAAUCUGGUGUCGGCGGAGCCACCAACGGUGUCAUGUCGUCCGCACGCUAAUGGAACCCAAAAUUUGAAAGGUGAUGAAGAAGAUGAAUUUUGGGUCGUUCCUUCUUUAACUAGGGUGAUGUGCUGAAAACCGUUUGGACGGAUGAAGUGGGGCUAGGAAUAUCUUCCUCUACACUGUCAAAGGCAGCUCUACCAGUUAACAUCUUUAUAGCAAUUUCAAUCACUUCAACAAACCAUUCAUCCUCAGGCAAGACACUGUCAUUCAAAGGUUAUUGAUUAGUAUAAAGCACUGUAUAACAAAAAUUCUUGAUUCCAUCAUAAAUGUACUUAAAUGAUGCAGACAUAUUUUCCAUUUAUCUGCAUUUUUCCUUUGAUAUUCAAUGGAAGGCAAUGGAAUGAGGGCAGAAUAGUAGGUUCUAAGAGGUGUAUAAAGGUGCUCCUGGAUAAUUUUUUUUAAUACACUGUGCAUGUUAUUUUUCAGUAAAAACUUUAUUCUUUUACUUCUUUAACCGAUGUCCUAAUGACACUAAUAAGCUAAAUGCUAAAUAACGAAAUAGAUGUACCUGUUGGGAUCUAGACCUGUAGCAGCAAGAGCAUUAAUAGCCCCAUCCAACCUGGUAUGAAAUUCAGAAAAACCUUGAUUUUUUCUUUUGAGGAAGGGACCAUAUGGUGGCAUGCUCACAGUGAUUGGUUAAGAGCCACUGUCUAUGGUGUCAUCUAUGUCUAUCCAACCAAGACUACUCCCUACCCUUUUCCUCAACCUGAUGCCGAGAUUCCAGUCAUAUUUGGUAUGAAAAGUUAUCCUUAACAGUUUUUUUUUCUGCAAUUCACGAAAUAUAGCUAGAACAUACUGCUACAAGCAGGAGGAAAAAAAGCAAUUUUUUUAUUUACUUAUGUAUAUGCAAGAGAGUGGUGGAUUAAUGAUGUCAACGAGGUCUUCAGACAGUCUUCUGAAACCGGAGUGACCCCAAACAUAUAUGAUGCUCUCACUAUACUAAUUUACUUUUCUAAGAAUAAAAUAUAUGUUUUUUAUUAGUAGAUUAUUAUAAUUAUAAUGAUAUUUAGAUACUUUAAUAAAGUUUGUUGUUGCUGGUUUUGUGUACAACAUUUUGUGUCGAAUCUGUUGCAGCAGUUGAGUCCAAUAGUUUAUACAGAGCUCAUUCAAGCAAGCCAAAUUCAAGGGAGUAUUUUCUUUUUAAUUACAAAAAAGGUAUGACAUCCUCACUUGUAUUUACUUGGGUAUUUCUUGUUUAUUUAGAAAGUCUACUAGCACAUGUCACGUGAUCUCUAGAAUUUUGUUUUAAAUGAAGUACCAAAAUAGUGAAACACCUAUUUUUGUCUUUGAAAGAUAUAGGAGAUGACAAGUAGGUUCUUGAAAAAAAAAACUUGGUGACAUCUUAGUCCCUGUAACUUUUUAUGGUUGAGGAUGUUUGUCCCACUCUUAGGAUCAGAAUAACUCUUCUAGUUACAUGAGGAGUUGUUAAGUGUAAAUAUGUCAUCUUACUUUUUUAAGCAAAUUUCAUACAUUUUUGUUAAAAUCUUUUAUUUUUUUGCUGAAGUUGGGAAAUGUUAAAAUGAAAUCUAUCAGUAUAUCAUCUCAAAAGUAUAGUUAAACAUUAAUGUAUAGAGUAGUUGACCUUAAUUUCAAAAAUCUAUGUAUAUAGUCCAUCUGGAUCUCAAGGAGAGGGAUACAAAAUGAAUCUGAUGAAGCAAAAUUGAGAUUUGCUGCUGCCGAGUUAAUUUAACUUAAGUUUUCCCCACUCUUGCUGUUUAUAGCCGUAACAUGAUUGUUUUUCUGUAACAAUAUAAUGGAUGAGCUAUAUCUUUUAUUCAUAUAUUUAUAUCUUUUGAUGAUUGGUACAUACAGGGUGACCAUGUAACGUUCCUUAAUGUAUACAAGGGGUUUCAUCAAUUCACAGUGGUGUCACAAGAACUAUGUAAAAUUAUCAUGCCAUGGUGUGUGUGUUUAGUAAUUUUUCACAAUAUAAGCAUUUCAAUAU